UGUGGGAGCGAGCCUGCUCGCGAUGGCGGAGGGUCAUCCAACAUUGGUGUUGAAUGAUUCGCCGCCAUCGCGAGCAGGCUCGCUCCCACA
RNAcentral lists this unclassified non-coding RNA (90 nucleotides) under Pseudomonas corrugata. The record is from RNAcentral. Lineage: Bacteria; Pseudomonadati; Pseudomonadota; Gammaproteobacteria; Pseudomonadales; Pseudomonadaceae.